RNAcentral lists this transfer RNA (101 nucleotides) under Colletotrichum fructicola Nara gc5. Its description in RNAcentral is "tRNA-Pro for anticodon CGG". Lineage: Eukaryota; Fungi; Ascomycota; Sordariomycetes; Glomerellales; Glomerellaceae. The record is from RNAcentral. RNAcentral also lists the same sequence under 1 other name.
GGCUCAAUGGUCUAGUGGUAUGAUUCGCCCUUCGGGUCUUCCAACCCUUGCGCACAGCGUGAAAAUGGGCGAGGUCUCGGGUUCGAUCCCCGAUUGAGCCC